CACUGCCGAGAAAAGCCUCUAGAUAGAAAAUAGGUGCCCGUACCGCAAACCGACACAGGUAGUCAAGAUGAGAAUUCUAAGGUGAGCGAGCGAACUCUCGUUAAGGAACUCGGCAAAAUGACCCCGUAACUUCGGGAGAAGGGGUGCUCUUUAGGGUUAACGCCCAGAAGAGCCGCAGUGAAUAGGCCCAAGCGACUGUUUAUCAAAAACACAGGUCUCUGCUAAACCGUAAGGUGAUGUAUAGGGGCUGACGCCUGCCCGGUGCUGGAAGGUUAAGAGGAGUGGUUAGCUUCUGCGAAGCUACGAAUCGAAGCCCCAGUAAACGGCGGCCGUAACUAUAACGGUCCUAAGGUAGCGAAAUUCCUUGUCGGGUAAGUUCCGACCCGCACGAAAGGCGUAACGAUUUGGGCACUGUCUCAACGAGAGACUCGGUGAAAUCAUAGUACCUGUGAAGAUGCAGGUUACCCGCGACAGGACGGAAAGACCCCGUGGAGCUUUACUGUAGCCUGAUAUUGAAAUUCGGCAUAGCUUGUACAGGAUAGGU
This 544-nucleotide ribosomal RNA is filed under the name Staphylococcus aureus. RNAcentral's name for it is "partial 23S ribosomal RNA". It matches the Rfam family "Bacterial large subunit ribosomal RNA", at positions 1603 to 2148 of the family's 2925-position model. Lineage: Bacteria; Bacillati; Bacillota; Bacilli; Caryophanales; Staphylococcaceae. The record is from RNAcentral.